Molecule: ribosomal RNA, 800 nt
Filed under: Dactylonectria torresensis
Lineage: Eukaryota; Fungi; Ascomycota; Sordariomycetes; Hypocreales; Nectriaceae
Description: eukaryotic LSU rRNA
Rfam family: Eukaryotic large subunit ribosomal RNA
Source: RNAcentral
UACGGCGAGUGAAGCGGCAACAGCUCAAAUUUGAAAUCUGGCCUUCGGGUCCGAGUUGUAAUUUGUAGAGGAUGCUUUUGGUGAGGUGCCUUCCGAGUUCCCUGGAACGGGACGCCAUAGAGGGUGAGAGCCCCGUCUGGUUGGACACCGAUCCUCUGUAAAGCUCCUUCGACGAGUCGAGUAGUUUGGGAAUGCUGCUCUAAAUGGGAGGUAUAUGUCUUCUAAAGCUAAAUAUUGGCCAGAGACCGAUAGCGCACAAGUAGAGUGAUCGAAAGAUGAAAAGCACUUUGAAAAGAGAGUUAAAAAGUACGUGAAAUUGUUGAAAGGGAAGCGCUCAUGACCAGACUUGGGCUUGGUUGAUCAUCCAGGGUUCUCCCUGGUGCACUCUUCCAGUUCAGGCCAGCAUCAGUUCGCUGUGGGGGAUAAAGGCUUUGGGAAUGUGGCUCCCUCGGGAGUGUUAUAGCCCAUUGUGUAAUACCCUGUGGUGGACUGAGGUUCGCGCAUUCGCAAGGAUGCUGGCGUAAUGGUCAUCAGCGACCCGUCUUGAAACACGGACCAAGGAGUCGUCUUCGUAUGCGAGUGUUCGGGUGUUAAACCCCUACGCGUAAUGAAAGUGAACGCAGGUGAGAGCUUCGGCGCAUCAUCGACCGAUCCUGAUGUUCUCGGAUGGAUUUGAGUAAGAGCAUACGGGGCCGGACCCGAAAGAAGGUGAACUAUGCCUGUAUAGGGUGAAGCCAGAGGAAACUCUGGUGGAGGCUCGCAGCGGUUCUGACGUGCAAAUCGAUCGUCAAAUAUGGGCA